RNAcentral lists this ribosomal RNA (379 nucleotides) under uncultured bacterium. RNAcentral describes it as "partial 16S ribosomal RNA". It matches the Rfam family "Bacterial small subunit ribosomal RNA", at positions 338 to 734 of the family's 1533-position model. The record is from RNAcentral.
CCUACGGGGUGCAGCAGUGGGGAAUAUUGCACAAUGGGGGAAACCCUGAUGCAGCGAUGCCGCGUGAGUGAAGAAGGAAUUCGUUAUGUAAAGCACUAUCAGCAGGGAAGAAAAUGACGGUACUUGAGUAAGAAGCCCCGGCUAACUCCGUGCCAGCAGCCGCGGUAAUACGUAGGGGGCAAGCGUUCGCCGGAUUUGCGGGGUGUAAAGGGAGUGUAGACGGCUGUGCGAGUCUGGAGUGAAAGCGGGGGGCUCAACCCGCAGACUGCUCUGGAAACUGUACGGCUGGAGUACAGGAGAGGGAAGUAGAAUUCCUAGUGUAGCGGUGAAAUGCGUAGAUAUUAGGAGGAACACCAGUGGCGAAGGCGGCUUACUGGAC